UGGUUUUGAGAAGGAACCGGCCUC
Molecule: non-coding RNA, 24 nt
Filed under: Mus musculus (house mouse)
Lineage: Eukaryota; Metazoa; Chordata; Mammalia; Rodentia; Muridae
Also listed under: 1 other name
Source: RNAcentral